RNAcentral lists this transfer RNA (67 nucleotides) under Xystrocera globosa. RNAcentral's name for it is "tRNA-Ser". Lineage: Eukaryota; Metazoa; Arthropoda; Insecta; Coleoptera; Cerambycidae. The record is from RNAcentral.
GUUGAUGAGCUUGUAAAAGCAUUUACUUUGAAAGUAAAAUAAAGAGACACGACUCUCUAUUAACUUA